This 781-nucleotide ribosomal RNA is filed under the name uncultured Neocallimastigales. RNAcentral describes it as "partial large subunit ribosomal RNA". It matches the Rfam family "Eukaryotic large subunit ribosomal RNA", at positions 26 to 644 of the family's 3401-position model. Lineage: Eukaryota; Fungi; Neocallimastigomycota; Neocallimastigomycetes; Neocallimastigales. The record is from RNAcentral.
CGUCUAUAUACGUAUAGCAUAUCAAUAAGCGGAGGAAAAGAAACUAACAAGGAUUCCCUUAGUAACGGCGAGUGAAGCGGGAAGAGCUCAAAUUUGAAAUCUUCAAGGUUCUACCUUGACGAAUUGUAGUUUAAUAGAAGUGUUUUCUGUUAGAUGAGUAGCAAAAGUUCCUUUGGAAUAGGGACAUCAUAGAGGGUGAGAAUCCCGUAUUUGGUUAUUCAUUCUAGCUUUGUGAUACACUUUCAAAGAGUCGGAUUGUUUGGGAAUGCAGUCCAAAAUGGGUGGUAAAUUUCAUCUAAAGCUAAAUAUUGGCGAGAGACCGAUAGCGAACAAGUACCGUGAGGGAAAGAUGAAAAGAACUUUGAAAAGAGAGUUAAACAGUACGUGAAAUUGUCAAAAGGGAAGCGUUUGACACCAGUGUUGUUUUUCCAAAAAUCAAUUACGAAUGGCUUGAUUCUGUGUUGUAUUGACCUUAUCAGCUUUCUGCACUUUUUUCGAGUCUUUCUUAAUGCACUUUUCGGUUAACAAGUCAACAUCAAUUUCUUUUGUUGUAAAAGAGGUAUGCGGAAGGUGGCUUUCUUUUCGGAGAAAGUGUUUAUAGCCCUAGUGACUUCUGACAAUCGGAGAGAUUGAGGUCUGCAGCGUAGAUCCUUCGGGGUUAGAUACAUUUGUGCUAAGUUAUAGCCUUUCAUAGACAACUUGUUGACUAUGAUCAGUCAUGUAGCUUACUCGCUUAUGCUAUUUUACCUACGCUUAGGAUGUUGACUGAUAUGUAGUCGUA